GUUGACCUCGGAUCAGGUAGGGAUACCCGCUGAACUUAAGCAUAUCAAUAAGCGGAGGAAAAGAAACCAACAGGGAUUACCUCAGUAACGGCGAGUGAAGCGGUAACAGCUCAAAUUUGAAAGCUAGCUCUUUGAGGGUUCGCAUUGUAAUUUGUAGAAGAUGCUUCGGGUGUGGCCCCGGUCUAAGUUCCUUGGAACAGGACGUCAUAGAGGGUGAGAAUCCCGUAUGUGACUGGGUGCUUUCGCUCAUGUGAAGCUCUUUCGACGAGUCGAGUUGUUUGGGAAUGCAGCUCUAAAUGGGUGGUACAUUUCAUCUAAAGCUAAAUAUUGGCCAGAGACCGAUAGCGCACAAGUAGAGUGAUCGAAAGAUGAAAAGCACUUUGGAAAGAGAGUUAAACAGUACGUGAAAUUGUUGAAAGGGAAGCGCUUGCAACCAGACUUGCGCGCUGAUGAUCAUCCGGGCUUCUGCCCGGUGCACUCGUCUGCGCUCAGGCCAGCAUCGGUUUCGGUGGUGGGAUAAAGGCCUUGGGAAUGUAGCUCCUCUCGGGGAGUGUUAUAGCCCUCGGUGCAAUGCCGCCUACCGGGACCGAGGACCGCGCUUCGGCUAGGAUGCUGGCGUAAUGGUUGUAAGCGACCCGUCUUGAAACACGGACCAAGGAGUCUAACAUCUAUGCGAGUGUUUGGGUGUCAAACCCAUACGCGUAAUGAAAGUGAACGGAGGUGAGAACCCUUAAGGGUGCAUCAUCGACCGGUCCUGAUGUCUUCGGAUGGAUCUGAGUAAGAGCAUAGCUGUUGGGACCCGAAAGAUGGUGAACUAUGCGUGAAUAGGGUGAAGCCAGAGGAAACUCUGGUGGAGGCUCGCAGCGGUUCUGACGUGCAAAUCGAUCGUCAAAUUUGCGUAUAGGGGCGAAAGACUAAUCGAACCAUUGUCGGCAGGCACAAAAAAUUCUUGUAAAAGUAGGCUAAAAAGCAACGCUAUUUGCUAUGCUUGCUGGCCGGAUCUUGCGAGGUCUAAAAAACAAGAAAUGAUUUUUGCUGCUAGGUGGUUAAGAGGUAUAUUAAAAGUAUACUUAGUCCGUAGAGGGCAACACUAUCAAAUUGCGGGGACGUCCUGUUUUAAAUACUGAACUACCGCAGCUGCCUCGAAAGAGGUAGUGCGCACCAGGUUAAUGACCUUGGGGAUGGUAAAAACGUUUAGAUAGGGAUAAUCCGCAGCCAAGUCCUAUAGGGUCUUAAGACCUACGGAUGCAGUUCACAGACUAAAUGAUAGUGGGUUAGAUACUCUAGCUUAAGAUAUAGUCGAAUCCCUCGAGAGAUCAAGGGCGGAGUUAAUACUUCCGUUUCUAUUGACUUUUCGUUACUGUAGGCUUGUGGGUGUCGGGUCAUGUUGGGCCGCGAGACAAGUUAUAGUGGGCGUGGGUCGAAGAAUCGAGAGUAUCGCUCUAUAAUGCUAGUAGCUGGUUCCUGCCGAAGUUUCCCUCAGGAUAGCAGUGUUGAAUUCAGUUUUAUGAGGUAAAGCGAAUGAUUAGAGGCCUUGGGGUUGCAACAACCUUAACCUAUUCUCAAACUUUAAAUAUGUAAGAAGUCCUUGUUACUUAAUUGAACGUGGACAUUCGAAUGUACCAACACUAGUGGGCCAUUUUUGGUAAGCAGAACUGGCGAUGCGGGAUGAACCGAACGUGAAGUUAAGGUGCCGGAAUCUACGCUCAUCAGACACCACAAAAGGUGUUAGUUCAUCUAGACAGCAGGACGGUGGCCAUGGAAGUCGGAAUCCGCUAAGGAAUGUGUAACAACUCACCUGCCGAAUGAACUAGCCCUGAAAAUGGAUGGCGCUUAAGCGUAGUACCCAUACUUCACCGCCAGGGUAGAAACGAUGCCCUGGCGAGUAGGCAGGCGUGGGGGUCAGUGACGAAGCCUUGGGAGUGAUCCCGGGUAGAACGGCCUCUAGUGCAGAUCUUGGUGGUAGUA
This 1968-nucleotide ribosomal RNA is filed under the name Rhynchosporium agropyri. Its description in RNAcentral is "eukaryotic LSU rRNA". It matches the Rfam family "Eukaryotic large subunit ribosomal RNA", at positions 1 to 1462 of the family's 3401-position model. The record is from RNAcentral. Lineage: Eukaryota; Fungi; Ascomycota; Leotiomycetes; Helotiales; Ploettnerulaceae.